RNAcentral lists this transfer RNA (64 nucleotides) under Metrocoris sp. XD-2019. RNAcentral describes it as "tRNA-His". The record is from RNAcentral. Lineage: Eukaryota; Metazoa; Arthropoda; Insecta; Hemiptera; Gerridae.
AUUUAAAUAGUUUAAUUAGAAUAAUAAUUUGUGGUGUUAUAGGUAUAUAUAUUUAUUUUAAAUC